RNAcentral lists this ribosomal RNA (253 nucleotides) under uncultured bacterium. RNAcentral's name for it is "partial 16S ribosomal RNA". It matches the Rfam family "Bacterial small subunit ribosomal RNA", at positions 524 to 776 of the family's 1533-position model. The record is from RNAcentral.
UACGUAGGGGGCAAGCGUUGUCCGGAAUCAUUGGGCGUAAAGCGCGCGUAGGCGGCCCUGUAAGUCCGUUGUGAAAGUCGAAGGCUCAACCUUCGAAAGCCGAUGGAUACUGCAGGGCUAGAGUCCGGAAGAGGCGAGUGGAAUUCCUGGUGUAGCGGUGGAAUGCGCAGAUAUCAGGAGGAACACCUGUGGCGAAAGCGGCUCACUGGACCAUAACUGACGCUGAUGCACGAAAGCUAGGGGAGCAAACAGG